AUUGAACGCUGGCGGCAUGCCUUACACAUGCAAGUCGAACGGCAGCACGGGUGCUUGCACCUGGUGGCGAGUGGCGAACGGGUGAGUAAUACAUCGGAACAUGUCCUGUAGUGGGGGAUAGCCCGGCGAAAGCCGGAUUAAUACCGCAUACGAUCUACGGAUGAAAGCGGGGGACCUUCGGGCCUCGCGCUAUAGGGUUGGCCGAUGGCUGAUUAGCUAGUUGGUGGGGUAAAGGCCUACCAAGGCGACGAUCAGUAGCUGGUCUGAGAGGACGACCAGCCACACUGGGACUGAGACACGGCCCUGACUCCUACGGGAGGCAGCAGUGGGGAAUUUUGGACAAUGGGCGAAAGCCUGAUCCAGCAAUGCCGCGUGUGUGAAGAAGGCCUUCGGGUUGUAAAGCACUUUUGUCCGGAAAGAAAUCCUUGGCCCUAAUACGGUCGGGGGAUGACGGUACCGGAAGAAUAAGCACCGGCUAACUACGUG
RNAcentral lists this ribosomal RNA (486 nucleotides) under uncultured bacterium. Its description in RNAcentral is "partial 16S ribosomal RNA". It matches the Rfam family "Bacterial small subunit ribosomal RNA", at positions 30 to 507 of the family's 1533-position model. The record is from RNAcentral.